RNAcentral lists this small nucleolar RNA (159 nucleotides) under Cladophialophora immunda. Lineage: Eukaryota; Fungi; Ascomycota; Eurotiomycetes; Chaetothyriales; Herpotrichiellaceae. The record is from RNAcentral.
UGUCGGGUUGAUAACUAGGCGGCGGUUUCAACGCAUUGCACCCCACGACCUUUGCCCUUUAAGUGCCCGAAAGAUUGACUUUUUUUUGCGACUGAGUCUUACACAUUUGCUUUCUUGUUUCAUCCAUGUUUGAUUAAUGUUUAUUCGGUCGCAACAUAC